UACGGAGGGGGCGAGCGUUGUUCGGAAUUACUGGGCGUAAAGGGCGCGUAGGCGGAGCGUCAAGUCAGGGGUGAAAGGCCUGGGCUCAACCCGGGAACUGCCUUUGAAACUGACGGACUGGAGUCCGGGAGAGGAUGGCGGAAUUCCCAGUGUAGAGGUGAAAUUCGUAGAUAUUGGGAAGAACACCGGUGGCGAAGGCGGCCAUCUGGACCGGAACUGACGCUGAGGCGCGAAAGCGUGGGGAGCAAACAGG
This 253-nucleotide unclassified non-coding RNA is filed under the name uncultured Alphaproteobacteria bacterium. RNAcentral describes it as "contains 16S-23S intergenic spacer region". It matches the Rfam family "Bacterial small subunit ribosomal RNA", at positions 524 to 776 of the family's 1533-position model. The record is from RNAcentral. Lineage: Bacteria; Pseudomonadati; Pseudomonadota; Alphaproteobacteria.